This is a long non-coding RNA of Pogoniulus pusillus (Red-fronted tinkerbird), 1063 nucleotides long. RefSeq lists it as uncharacterized. The record is from RefSeq and is a predicted model, not a curated record. The transcript is spliced from 3 exons. NCBI's taxonomy places the organism in Eukaryota, Metazoa, Chordata, Aves, Piciformes, Lybiidae.
CCAUCUGGGCAGAGGGAUCCUCCUCUCAGCAUCACUGCUGCUGCUGACUUGUGAAGCUGUGAGAAUUGCAGGAAUGAACCUGGGGGACGUUUUGGGAAGCCCUGAAUGAGCCUGGAGGUGAUGGCUGAGAAUCCCUGGUGGACUCCUGACUCUGUGAAGCCAGCUCAAGGCACCAGAUAACUAUCACACAGAAACCCUGAGGCUGGAAAAGACCUCUGAGAACAUCAAGUCCAGCCCAUGGCUUAACAUCACCACAACAGCUAAACCAUGCUGCCAAGUGUCACAUCUAAACUGCCUUACAGAUGGUGACUCCAUCUCCCUGGGCAGUCCAUUCCAGUGCCUAAUCACCCUUCCCAUGAGGAAGUGCUUCCUAACAUCCAAUCUAACCCUCCCCUUGUGCUGCUUCAGGCCAUGUCCUUUUCUCCCAGCACAGGUUGCUUGUGAGAAGAGUCUCAAUCCCCCACCUCAUUAUAACUUCAUUGCAGGGAGCUGUAGAGUGUGAUAAGAUCUCCUCUAGGUCUUCUUCAGGCUGAACACCCCCAGUUCCCUCAGCCUCUCCUCAUAUAGCUUUUUCUCCAGCCUCAUCCCCAUUCUCCUUCAUAGAAUCAAGCAGGUUGGAAGAGACCUCCAAGAUCAUCCAGUCCCACCUAGCACCCAGCCCUAGCCAGUCAACUUCUGGACCUAUUCCAUCCUCUCAUUAUCACAGGAUGAUAGGGGUUGGAAGGGACCCAAAGAGCCCAUAGAGUCCAACCCCUCUGCCAGAGCAGAACCACACAAUCUAACACAGAGUUAUCCUCAUUGAAGUGAGAGACCCAGAACCUAAUCCAACCUUUCACAGUAACAACAUCACUUCAACAAACUGGCCCAGCUUUCUGUCAAGCUAAACCUUCAACCUGACCCAUGUAAGGGAAUCCACCACCUCCUUUGAGAGUUUAUUCCAAUGUUUAGUAGUUUGAAGGGAGCAAAAAUGUUUUCUGGCAUCAUCUGCCAGACAGAAGCAUCAUUUCAUAUAAUCAAGCAGGUUGGAAGAGAGCUCCAAGCUCAGUCAGUCCAACCUAGCACC